RNAcentral lists this ribosomal RNA (233 nucleotides) under uncultured Candidatus Saccharibacteria bacterium. RNAcentral's name for it is "partial 16S ribosomal RNA". It matches the Rfam family "Bacterial small subunit ribosomal RNA", at positions 584 to 818 of the family's 1533-position model. The record is from RNAcentral. Lineage: Bacteria; Candidatus Saccharimonadota.
UAAGCAGAUAGUGAAUUGUGCGGCUCAACCGCAUACCCGCUAUCUGAACUGCUAAGCUUGAGCACGAGAGAGGUAACUGGAAUUCCCGGUGUAGGAGUGAAAUCCGUAGAUAUCGGGAGGAACACCGAUGGCGUAGGCAGGUUACUGGCUCGUUGCUGACACUAAGGCACGAAAGCGUGGGAGCGAACAGGAUUAGAUACCCCGGUAGUCCACGCCGUAAACGAUGGAUGCUA